This 85-nucleotide transfer RNA is filed under the name Planctomycetota bacterium. Its description in RNAcentral is "tRNA-Ser". It matches the Rfam family "tRNA". Rfam says of the family: Transfer RNA (tRNA) molecules are approximately 80 nucleotides in length. Their secondary structure includes four short double-helical elements and three loops (D, anti-codon, and T loops). Further hydrogen bonds mediate the characteristic L-shaped molecular structure. tRNAs have two regions of fundamental functional importance: the anti-codon, which is responsible for specific mRNA codon recognition, and the 3' end, to which the tRNAs corresponding amino acid is attached (by aminoacyl-tRNA synthetases). tRNAs cope with the degeneracy of the genetic code in two manners: having more than one tRNA (with a specific anti-codon) for a particular amino acid; and 'wobble' base-pairing, i.e. permitting non-standard base-pairing at the 3rd anti-codon position. The record is from RNAcentral. Lineage: Bacteria; Pseudomonadati; Planctomycetota.
GGAGAGGUGGCAGAGUGGUCGAUUGCACCGGUCUUGAAAACCGGCAGGGCGCAAGCUCUCGGGGGUUCGAAUCCCCCCCUCUCCG